AUGUUACUUUGGGAAUCAUUCACUUAUAUUCAUCGGCUCUCCACGUAGUUUGCUAUUAAGAUGGUGCUGACUUCUCGUAUAAACUACUCGGGGUUACUAUAAAACUAAAAGUUCAAGGGAUUGGUAUAAUAGGUACUCAUUCUGAUCUGACAUGUUGAGGUUCUUAGAGCGUUGUUAUGGUAAUAAUUUUUGUCUUGAUUUCACUCAAGUUUUAUAAAAUAAGCAACCUUUAUACUUACUGGGUGUGUUAAAUUUCUGUUAUCAUGGCUCAUGAAAAUUUGAGGGGAAUAGAUAAUAGAAAGUUUUCACGCUAGGGACUU
RNAcentral lists this long non-coding RNA (320 nucleotides) under Lathyrus oleraceus (garden pea). Its description in RNAcentral is "Pisum sativum (pea) long non-coding RNA (PSAT_LNC002774)". The record is from RNAcentral. Lineage: Eukaryota; Viridiplantae; Streptophyta; Magnoliopsida; Fabales; Fabaceae.